This 212-nucleotide ribosomal RNA is filed under the name uncultured bacterium. Its description in RNAcentral is "partial 16S ribosomal RNA". It matches the Rfam family "Bacterial small subunit ribosomal RNA", at positions 1289 to 1500 of the family's 1533-position model. The record is from RNAcentral.
CAGUUCGGAUUGCAGGCUGCAACUCGCCUGCAUGAAGUCGGAAUUGCUAGUAAUCGCGGAUCAGCAUGCCGCGGUGAAUACGUUCCCGGGCCUUGUACACACCGCCCGUCACACCAUGAGAGCCGGGAACACCCGAAGUCCGUAGCCUAACCGCAAGGGGGGCGCGGCCGAAGGUGGGUUCGAUAAUUGGGGUGAAGUCGUAACAAGGUAAC